GACCAGACUCCUACGGGAGGCAGCAGUGGGGAAUAUUGCACAAUGGGGGAAACCCUGAUGCAGCGACGCCGCGUGAAGGAAGAAGUAUUUCGGUAUGUAAACUUCUAUCAGCAGGGAAGAAAAUGACGGUACCUGACUAAGAAGCCCCGGCUAACUACGUGCCAGCAGCCGCGGUAAUACGUAGGGGGCAAGCGUUAUCCGGAUUUACUGGGUGUAAGGGGAGCGUAGACGGCAUGGCAAGUCAGAUGUGAAAGCCCGGGGCUCAACCCCGGGACUGCAUUUGAAACUGUCAGGCUGGAGUGCAGGAGAGGUAAGUGGAAUUCCUAGUGUAGCGGUGAAAUGCGUAGAUAUUAGGAGGAACACCAGUGGCGAAGGCGGCUUACUGGACUGUAACUGACGUUGAGGCUCGAAAGCGUGGGGAGCAAACAGGAUUAGAUACCCCAGUA
RNAcentral lists this ribosomal RNA (446 nucleotides) under uncultured bacterium. RNAcentral's name for it is "bacterial SSU rRNA". It matches the Rfam family "Bacterial small subunit ribosomal RNA", at positions 329 to 792 of the family's 1533-position model. The record is from RNAcentral.